UGACCUGAACUCAGACGUAACU
RNAcentral lists this ribosomal RNA (22 nucleotides) under Pratylenchus zeae. Its description in RNAcentral is "partial 28S ribosomal RNA". Lineage: Eukaryota; Metazoa; Nematoda; Chromadorea; Rhabditida; Pratylenchidae. The record is from RNAcentral.